GGCUUUGAUGAAAACGGUAUCACUUCUUUCCCAGUCCGAUUCGACCAUGACGACAAGGGUUUCUACCAUGUCUCUGUAUUUCUUCUUUUUGAGGAAGUACUUCAACGGGACUUUUCUUGCCAGUGUAUUUCAAUACACGAUCAAAGAUCCUGAGCC
Molecule: small nucleolar RNA, 156 nt
Filed under: Torulaspora delbrueckii CBS 1146
Lineage: Eukaryota; Fungi; Ascomycota; Saccharomycetes; Saccharomycetales; Saccharomycetaceae
Description: Small nucleolar RNA snR190
Rfam family: Small nucleolar RNA snR190
Source: Rfam by way of RNAcentral